CUUCAACUUCAACGGCGAAGAAUCUUAGAGCGGCGAAGUCAUUUGUUAACUCAAAUUGAAGAUGUUCGUCGUACCCGAGCUUUGCAACGAGCUGCUCGUAGGAGACAUGGGGGAUUGCAUGGUCAAGGUUUAGCCACUGUUGCUGUUGUAGGGUACACAAAUGCUGGAAAAUCUACGCUAGUUAGUUCACUGUCUGGCAUUGACCUGUAUAGAGAUCCACGGUAUUUCUAUGCCUAAGAAUUUGUUUUUUGAUCUUUAUUCCUUAU
Pistacia vera is the source of this 266-nucleotide long non-coding RNA. RefSeq lists it as uncharacterized. The record is from RefSeq and is a predicted model, not a curated record. The transcript has 3 exons. Lineage: Eukaryota; Viridiplantae; Streptophyta; Magnoliopsida; Sapindales; Anacardiaceae.